Molecule: non-coding RNA, 174 nt
Filed under: Pelosinus sp. UFO1
Lineage: Bacteria; Bacillati; Bacillota; Negativicutes; Selenomonadales; Sporomusaceae
Also listed under: 1 other name
Description: Lysine riboswitch aptamer
Rfam family: Lysine riboswitch aptamer
About the family: Riboswitches are metabolite binding domains within certain messenger RNAs that serve as precision sensors for their corresponding targets. Allosteric rearrangement of mRNA structure is mediated by ligand binding, and this results in modulation of gene expression.
Source: Rfam by way of RNAcentral
CUAGAAGAUAGAGGCGCGGUAUAUUAAGAAUAUGUAUCUAGAGUAGCCAGCGAUGAAAGAUACAAAAAGGAAUAACCGCCGAAGUGGAAGGGUUUGGCAAAGACCUUUUCGUUGGUUUUGUAUUGAAUAAAUACAAGACUGUCAUCCAAUUUUGGGUGGAGUGCUAUCUGCAUA